UGUAAGAAAGUAAAUAAGGGCGUAUGGGGAAUGCCUAGGCUCUUGGAGGCGAUGAAAGACGUGGUAAGCUGCGAUAAGCUUCGGGGAUUUGCAAACAAGAUUUGAUCCGGAGAUUUCUGAAUGGGACAACCCGCUGGGUAGAAGAUCCAGCAUCCGGUAACGGAAGCCAACCCUCUGAACUGAAACAUCUUAGUAGGAGGAGGAAAAGAAAGAAACAUCGAUUUCCUAAGUAGCGGCGAGCGAACGGGAAACAGCCUAAACCGGUUUUGUUACGGCAAAGCCGGGGUUGUAGGACUGCAACAUUCAAUUAACAAUGAACUGGAACGUUCUGGAAAGUUCGUCCAUAGAGGGUGAAAGACCCGUACAGGUAAGUUCGUUAAGCGAUAGCAGUAUCCUGAGUAGGGCGGGACACGAGGAAUCCUGUCUGAAUCUGCCGGGACCACCCGGUAAGGCUAAAUACUCCCAAGAGACCGAUAGUGAACCAGUACCGUGAGGGAAAGGUGAAAAGAACCCCGAACAGGGGAGUGAAAUAGAACCUGAAACCAUACGCUUACAACCUGUCGGAGCAGCUUCGUGCUGUGACGGCGUGCCUAUUGAAUAAUGAGCCUACGAGUUACUAAUCACUGGCAAGGUUAAGUGCAUGAAUGCACGGAGCCGAAGCGAAAGCGAGUCUGAACAGGGCGCUUAGUCAGUGGUUGUAGACGCGAAACCUUGCGAUCUACCCUUGAGCAGGUUGAAGGUUGGGUAAAACCAACUGGAGGACCGAACGAAUAAGCGUUGAAAAGCUUCUCGAUGACUUGAGGGUAGGGGUGAAAGGCUAAUCAAGCUGGGAAAUAGCUCGUACUCCCCGAAAUGCCUUUAGGGGCAGCGUUGUAAUUAAGAGUCUACUGGAGGUAGAGCUACUGAUUGGAUGCGGGGGCUUCACCGCCUACCAAAUCCUGACAAACUCCGAAUGCCAGUAGUAUGAUUUACAGCAGUGAGCGACCGGGUGCUAAUGUCCGGUUACGAGAGUGGAACAACACAGACCAGCAACUAAGGUCCCGAAGAGUAUACUAAGUUGAUCUAACGAUGUUUUGCUGCAGAGACAGCUAGGAUGUUAGCUUGGAAGCAGCUAUUCAUUCAAAGAGUGCGUAACAGCUCACUAGUCGAGCGGCAAAGCGUGGAUAAUAAACGGGCAUCAAGUAUACCACCGAAGUUCUGGGCACGAGAGUGCGGUAGGGGAGCAUUCCAUUGACGUCGAAGCCAUUCCGUGAGGAUAGGUGGAGUUUAUGGAAAAGCAAAUGUAGGCAUGAGUAACGAUAAUGCGGGAGAGUAACCCGCACACCGCAAGACCAAGGUUUCCUGAUCAACGCUAAUCGGAUCAGGGUUAGUCGGGUCCUAAGGGUAAGCCGAACGGUGAUCUCGAUGGAUAAUCGGUUAAUAUUCCGAUACUGACAUAUACCUCGAUGGAGAGACGAAGGAACGUAAGUGACGCCGCCUGACGGAAUAGGUGGUUAAAGGGCUUAGGUAUAGGGACAGAUUAAGAGUUAGUCCUUGCUGAAACCUGACAGUACGGAGCGGCUACGGCCAAUCUGAUAGUUCACCCAAGUAGACUUCCAAGAAAAUCUUCUAAGUUUAAGUAUAUGUUACCCGUACCGUAAACCGACACAGGUGGUCGAGGAGAGUAUCCUAAGGUGCUCGAGUGAAUCACGGUUAAGGAACUAGGCAAAUUAACCCCGUAACUUCGGGAUAAGGGGUCCCUACGCGAGUAGGGCGCAGCGAAGAGGUCCAGGCGACUGUUUAUCAAAAACACAGGGCUCUGCAAAUUCGAAAGAAGACGUAUAGGGCCUGACACCUGCCCGGUGCUGGAAGGUUAAGAGGGGAUGUCAUCGCAAGAGAAGCAUUGAAUCGAAGCCCCAGUAAACGGCGGCCGUAACUAUAACGGUCCUAAGGUAGCGAAAUUCCUUGUCGGGUAAGUUCCGACCUGCACGAAUGGUGUAACGAUCUGGACACUGUCUCAACCGUGAGCUCGGUGAAAUUGUAGUCCCGGUGAUGAUGCCGGGUACCCGCAACGGGACGAAAAGACCCCGUGAACCUUUACUAUAGCUUAACGCUGAAUUUGGGUACAUAAUGUGUAGGAUAGGCCGGAGACUGUGAAUCGGGCACGCCAGUGUUCGUGGAGUCAACGUUGAAAUACGGCCCUUUGUGUACUUGGAUUCUAACCCUGCAAAGGGGACACCGUUUGGUGGGUAGUUUGACUGGGGUGGUCGCCUCCAAAAGCGUAACGGAGGCUUCCCAAGGUACCCUCAGCACGAAUGGUAACCGUGCGCAGAGUGCAAUAGCAUAAGGGUGCUUGACUGUGAGACCUACAAGUCGAUCAGGUGCGAAAGCAGGGUAUAGUGAUCCGGUGGUUCUGUGUGGACUGGCCAUCGCUCAAAGGAUAAAAGGUACUCCGGGGAUAACAGGCUGAUCGCCGCCAAGAGCUCAUAUCGACGCGGCGGUUUGGCACCUCGAUGUCGGCUCGUCACAUCCUGGGGCUGGAGAAGGUCCCAAGGGUUCGGCUGUUCGCCGAUUAAAGUGGCACGCGAGCUGGGUUCAGAACGUCGUGAGACAGUUCGGUCUCUAUCUGUUGCGGGCGUAGGAAAAUUGAGGGGUCCUGACUUUAGUACGAGAGGACCGAGUUGGACGAACCUCCGGUGUAUCGGUUAUGCUGCCAAGUGUACCGCCGAGUAGCCGCGUUCGGUUUGGAUAAGCGCUGAAAGCAUCUAAGCGCGAAGCCAUCCCCAAGAUAAGUUUUCCCUUGAGGGGCGUAGGAGACUACUACGUUGAUAGGCUGCAGGUGUAAAGACAGUAAUGUCAAAGCCGAGCAGUACUAAUUACCCGAUCGGCUUUUUUA
RNAcentral lists this ribosomal RNA (2875 nucleotides) under Alistipes timonensis JC136. RNAcentral's name for it is "bacterial LSU rRNA". It matches the Rfam family "Bacterial large subunit ribosomal RNA". Lineage: Bacteria; Pseudomonadati; Bacteroidota; Bacteroidia; Bacteroidales; Rikenellaceae. The record is from RNAcentral.